UACAGGGGGUGCAAACGUUGCUCGGAAUUAUUGGGCGUAAAGCGCGCGUAGGCGGCUACCUAAGUCGGAUGUGAAAGCCCCUGGCUUAACUGGGGAAGUGCACCCGAAACUGAGUAGCUAGAGUGCGAAAGAGGGUCGCGGAAUUCCCGGUGUAGAGGUGAAAUUCGUAGAUAUCGGGAGGAACACCGGUGGCGAAGGCGGCAUCCUGGACCGACACUGACGCUGAGGAGCGAAAGCCAGGGGAGCAAACGGG
This 253-nucleotide ribosomal RNA is filed under the name uncultured bacterium. Its description in RNAcentral is "partial 16S ribosomal RNA". It matches the Rfam family "Bacterial small subunit ribosomal RNA", at positions 524 to 776 of the family's 1533-position model. The record is from RNAcentral.